GAUAGGAGGUCGUGUGAGUGACAGAAAGGAUAAGGUGGCCAUGCUAGGGGCAGGAAGGAGUGAGCUGGAAAUGGAGAAGGAAGAGAAAAGAAGGAGAGAAAGAGCAAGAGCUGUGUGGAGUUACUCAUGGGACUGCUGCAUAGAAAAGGUCUUCACUGAAUGAAAGGGGUGUGGAGCUCUGCAGUUUCUGCUCACAGCUACUGCUCAGCCAUCGUGGGAGUCGCUGCUUCCUCAGAGUUCCCUCCUGAGAAGAGAUGUGGUUUUAAGAAGACGGAGAUGGCUCACCCUACAUUAAAGGACUGAACAGGGAAUUCCAAAUUAUAAUACAGGUCCAGUUUUGACCAGUGCCUC
Hirundo rustica (Barn swallow) is the source of this 351-nucleotide long non-coding RNA. RefSeq lists it as uncharacterized. The record is from RefSeq and is a predicted model, not a curated record. The transcript has 3 exons. NCBI's taxonomy places the organism in Eukaryota, Metazoa, Chordata, Aves, Passeriformes, Hirundinidae.